CAGCAGCCACGGGAACACGUAGGGUGCGAGCGUUAAUCGGAAUUACUGGGCGUAAAGCGGGCGCAGACGGUUACUUAAGCAGGAUGUGAAAUCCCCGGGCUCAACCUGGGAACUGCGUUCUGAACUGGGUGACUUGAGUGCAGAAGAGGAGAGUGGAAUUCCACGUGUAGCGGUGAAAUGCGUAGAGAUGUGGAGGAACACCGAUGGCGAAGGCAGCCCCCUGGGCCAAUACUGACGCUCAUGCACGAAAGCGUGGGGAGCAAACAGGAUUAGAUACCCCUGUAGUCCCUGUCUCUUAUAA
Molecule: ribosomal RNA, 301 nt
Filed under: uncultured bacterium
Lineage: Bacteria
Description: partial 16S ribosomal RNA
Rfam family: Bacterial small subunit ribosomal RNA
Source: RNAcentral